This 428-nucleotide ribosomal RNA is filed under the name uncultured bacterium. RNAcentral describes it as "partial 16S ribosomal RNA". It matches the Rfam family "Bacterial small subunit ribosomal RNA", at positions 354 to 796 of the family's 1533-position model. The record is from RNAcentral.
GUGGGGAAUAUUGCACAAUGGGCGAAAGCCUGACCCAGCAACGCCGCGUGAGGGAAGAAGGCCUUCGGGUUGUAAACCUCUGUCCUUGGUGACGAAAAAAAUGACGGUAGCCAAGGAGGAAGCCCCGGCUAACUACGUGCCAGCAGCCGCGGUAAUACGUAGGGGGCGAGCGUUGUCCGGAAUUACUGGGCGUAAAGGGUGCGUAGGUGGCCUUUUAAGUUGGAUGUGAAAUACCCGGGCUUAACUUGGGGGGUGCAUCUAAUACUGGGAGGCUAGAGUGCAGGAGAGGGAAGCGGAAUUCCUAGUGUAGCGGUGAAAUGCGUAGAUAUUAGGAGGAACACCAGUGGCGAAGGCGGCUUUCUGGACUGUAACUGACACUGAGGCACGAAAGCGUGGGGAGCAAACAGGAUUAGAAACCCCGGUAGUCC